UACAGAGGUCUCAAGCGUUGUUCGGAUUUACUGGGCGUAAAGGGUGCGUAGGUGGUCGGGUAAGUCUCAUGUGAAAUCCCGCAGCUUAACUGCGGAACGGCAUGGGAUACUAUUCGGCUCGAGGAUUGGAGGGGGGACUGGAAUUCCCGGUGUAGCAGUGAAAUGCGUAGAUAUCGGGAGGAACACCAGUGGCGAAGGCGAGUCCCUGGACAAUUCCUGACGCUGAGGCACGAAAGCCAGGGGAGCAAACAGG
RNAcentral lists this ribosomal RNA (253 nucleotides) under uncultured bacterium. RNAcentral's name for it is "partial 16S ribosomal RNA". It matches the Rfam family "Bacterial small subunit ribosomal RNA", at positions 524 to 776 of the family's 1533-position model. The record is from RNAcentral.